Long non-coding RNA from Pyrus x bretschneideri (Chinese white pear), 2500 nucleotides. RefSeq lists it as uncharacterized. The transcript has 16 exons. Lineage: Eukaryota; Viridiplantae; Streptophyta; Magnoliopsida; Rosales; Rosaceae. The record is from RefSeq and is a predicted model, not a curated record.
AACCGUUUGCUGCAUUUCAGCUUUUGACUCGGGCAGAGAGGGGAGGGGGAUAUCACAGCUGACAGAUUGGAUAGAGAUGAUGACUCCCAUUUUUGACUCGGAGACAGCUGGGUGUCGCUGUGUCGAGCGAAGAGAGGGGGACAGAGCGACUACAGAGCAGGGAGACACAUGGCCUGCAUUUCAGCUUUGACUCGGGGAGAGAGAGGGGAAUGGGACAUCACGGCUGACGAAUUUGAGAGAGAUAAUGGCUCCCAUUUUUGACUCUGAGACAGCUGGGUGUCGCUGUGGCGAGCGGAGAGAGGGGGGCAGAGCGACUACAGAGGAGGGAGACACAGGCCCUGACAGAUUGGAGACGGAUGGGAGCUACGGAUUUGGAUUGAGUGAGAGAAAGAUUUUGCUAGCUCAUCUGCCAGGAUCUAUGGGAUUUUCUCCCAUUUUAGAGAGAGAGAUACAGAGCGGAAAGCAUGGGUGUGUGUAUUCUUUAGGGUUGACGGGUUACGCAGAGUCGGUGAGGAAGGGAUGCCUCAGGGACGAAUGGCAGGGUCUGGCCUUCAUUUAUGUAGCUCGAGAGCUUCGGUGAGAUGAAGGAGAGGAGCAGGGAGAUGGGCUCGAGUGGGCGAACGGCCGAAGAGAUCUUCAGGGAUCACAGUGGUCGGAGAACUGACGCCGUCCACGAUUUAACUAACGAGAGAGAGAGGUCGAGCAAGGUUUCGUCCAUUUCGGUCAACUUGGGCUACCCCCUAACGUUCGAUCCCUCUCCGAUCUCUUCUCUCGCAUAUGUCGUCUUACUCCACCGUUCACAUCAGGAAGGCCCGUGCAUGGUUUUUUGGGUGGGGAUUUCAAAUUUCAAGGGGGAGAGAGGUUGUGCUUCGUUUCAAUCAGGCCAAGCCUCUAUCUGCAAAUCGAGGCCCAGGUGAAGCAUAAGCAUUACAGGCCUGCAGUAAAUUCUAGGGAAAGAAGAAGGAAGGAAAUGCCGCGAGGUAUGUCACCAGGUCACAAGCUGUCAAGCAGCUUCAAGUCAGUCUUCCCUUCUUCAGGAAAUUGUGUAUUCUAAAGGGCGUGUUCCCCUGGGAGCUGAAGAAAAAGGUGAAAGGAAAUCACCAUACCUAUUAUCACUUGAAGGAUGUUUCUUUCAUUCAGCAUGAACCGCUACUCGAGCAGUUGAGAGAGAUAAGAGCAUACGAAAGAAAAGUAAAGAGAGCCGAUGCGAAGAAGAACAAGGAACGAGCUGCUCUCCUGAAAGAAAGAAGACCCACUUACAAAUUAGAUAGAAUUAUUUUGCAGAGAUGUCCAAAAUUCAUUGACACACUUAGAGAUAUAGACGACUGCCUCAGCUAUUGAGGACAGAAUUGAUGUCAAACGCAUUCAUAACUGUCGAAGGUUGAGUCAUGAAUGGCAAGCUUACAUAUCUUGGACUCAUAAAUUGCGUAAAGUCUUUGUAUCUGUUAAAGGCAUAUAUUAUCAGUUUGAGUCUACUGAGUUCUGCGGAUUCACUCAAUUGCAAUCAUCUCUUCUGCAACACUUGCACCAUGAAGUCAAUGAAAUCGGGUUCCAUUUGUCCAGUUUAUAAAAUUCCAUAUCGACGCAGAGGCACUGGGAAGACGACUCUGUCUACGCAUCAUAAUCGGUAACUAAUUGGAUUUGAUGAGCACUGCUGGAGCAACAAUGUUAUGUCAAACAUUGAAGGUGGUUGCUAUGCCAAAUGCAUUGAUUUGUCAAAGAACUGGGAACCAGAUAUUUGGAAUGCUAUCAAAUUUGGGACUGUUUUGGAGAAUGUUGUGUUCGAUGACCAUAAUUGAGAAGUUGAUUACUCAGAGAAAUCUGUUACUGGUUGUGAUUGAGGGAGCUUGAAAUGGCAGUUGGAUUUCACGUCGUUGUUAAACAAGAAGCUAAAGCGUAAUCAAAGGAUUUGUUGACCUAUUGUGGAAGAUUCUUAUUCAGUUGCUAUUUUAAAUUUGGGCUUCCGUUUGGUUGAGCAUCCUUUUCUCCAAAAGGGGAUGGACAGAAGUCCCCGGCAGCAAUCUCUUUGUGAUCAUUGCUGGGAUAAUAUCGUGGUCAUUUUGAGUUCGAAUUCAGCUAGCAUGUGCUUGAAUUGUAGAUCUGUGCAAGCUAUCCAUAUAUGGAUCAAUGCUAUGGACUCUUCUCAACCUAUGGACCUCAAAUUUCAGUGCGUCUUCCAUCAUUUAUCCUACCUGACUAUGUAUGGAGCUAUUACAUUUGCAAUCAUAUUAAUUCCUUGAAAACAAUAUUUAUAUUUCUUUGUAAACUACUAAUUUUGGAAUAUACUAUCGUUUUCGUGCUGGUACAUUAAAAUGAAAAUAUGAAAAGUAGUCUCAAUCUUCUGAGGAAGAGAGGUGUUGGGUGUCUGAGACAAGGGGUUUCAGGUUAGGGAACCAAAACGUUCAGUUUCGUCCUAUUCAUUGUACAAUGUCUUUUCAAGUUAGCUCAGUUGAAUGUAUAUAAAAACGAAGAUGCAUAUCUUACCGAUUUCAUUCACUCA